CAGCGUCGCAAGUGGCGAUCCUGCUUAUUUGGCCUAAAGCGUCCGUAGCUGGUUAAGUAAAUCUCUUGUGAAAUUGUUCAGCUUAACUGAACAGCGUGCAGGAGAGACUGCUUAGCUAGGGACCGGGAGGAGUCAGAGAUAUGCCUUGGGGAGCGGUAAAAUGCUAUAAUCCUUGGUAGAUCACCUGUGGCGAAGGCGUCUGACUAGAACGGGUCCGACAGUGAGGGACGAAAGCUAGGGGAGCAAACCGGAUUAGAGACCCGAGUAGUCC
Molecule: ribosomal RNA, 271 nt
Filed under: uncultured archaeon
Lineage: Archaea
Description: partial 16S ribosomal RNA
Rfam family: Archaeal small subunit ribosomal RNA
Source: RNAcentral